Molecule: ribosomal RNA, 492 nt
Filed under: uncultured Sphingobacteriales bacterium
Lineage: Bacteria; Pseudomonadati; Bacteroidota; Sphingobacteriia; Sphingobacteriales
Description: bacterial SSU rRNA
Rfam family: Bacterial small subunit ribosomal RNA
Source: RNAcentral
CCAGCCCGCUCAGAACUUAAAGGAAUUGACGGGGCCCGCACAAGCGGUGAGCAUGUGGUUAAUUCGAUGAUACGCGAGGAACCUUACCUGGGCUCAAAUGUAUGUUGACGUAUUCUGAAAGGGAUACUUCUUCGGACAAUAUACAAGGUGCUGCAUGGUUGUCGUCAGCUCGUGCCGUGAGGUGUCGGGUUAAGUCCCAUAACGAGCGCAACCCCUAUCAUUAGUUGCCAUCAGGUCAAGCUGGGGACUCUAAUGAAACUGCCUACGCAAGUAGUGAGGAAGGUGGGGAUGACGUCAAAUCAUCAUGCCCCUUAUGAUCUGGGCUACACACGUGCUACAAUGGCCGGUACAACGGGCAGCGAAGGAGCGAUCCGGAGCGAAUCCUAAAAAGCCGGUCCCAGUUCGGAUUGCAGGCUGAAACUCGCCUACAUGAAGUUGGAGUUGCUAGUAAUCGCGAAUCAGAAUGUCGCGGUGAAUACGUUCCCGGGCCUU